Molecule: transfer RNA, 74 nt
Filed under: Heliomicrobium modesticaldum Ice1
Lineage: Bacteria; Bacillati; Bacillota; Clostridia; Eubacteriales; Heliobacteriaceae
Description: Heliobacterium modesticaldum Ice1 tRNA
Rfam family: tRNA
About the family: Transfer RNA (tRNA) molecules are approximately 80 nucleotides in length. Their secondary structure includes four short double-helical elements and three loops (D, anti-codon, and T loops). Further hydrogen bonds mediate the characteristic L-shaped molecular structure. tRNAs have two regions of fundamental functional importance: the anti-codon, which is responsible for specific mRNA codon recognition, and the 3' end, to which the tRNAs corresponding amino acid is attached (by aminoacyl-tRNA synthetases). tRNAs cope with the degeneracy of the genetic code in two manners: having more than one tRNA (with a specific anti-codon) for a particular amino acid; and 'wobble' base-pairing, i.e. permitting non-standard base-pairing at the 3rd anti-codon position.
Source: Rfam by way of RNAcentral
GCGCCUGUAGCUCAGUUGGAUAGAGCACCUGCCUUCUAAGCAGGGCGUCGGGGGUUCGAAUCCCUCCAGGCGCG